AAGCUACUCACCCCUCAUACAGCAUUGCGAUUGUGUAGGAAAUUGCCACUACAGCUGUCAGCAAAAGGCCAGCUGGGCUUGCAUGCCUGUUUUGAAAGAGAAGGAAAAGAUCAGGAGAAACGAGGUUGCUCGACGCGGGUGACGAGAAGCAUUUGGGUCUGACCAGAACCAGACGGCAGACACAUUCCUCCGGCAUCCCUCCCGCUGUCACGGAGCUGGGGCGUUAGCUCUGGCCUCCGAGGGCAGAUACCUAACAUCUUCUGAAAGCCCUGGGACCUCAGAAGAGACCUGGGACUCCCCCCAAAAAUCACAGCAACCUGAGCAGAGAUCCCAGGGAAGAGAAAGAGUCAAAACCACCACGUGAAGGGUUGUGCAGAGCUUCCCCAGGGCAGGCGGGCGGUGUCCUGGUGCCACUGUGCACAGCUCCAGCAAUUUGUUAACAGCAAUUAUUUGUCAUGCCUCGCUGCCCUUUAUGGUGGCAGCCUUUUAAUGAGAAAAAGGAGGCAAUCACACUGUUGUCUCGAGCCACUUCAAGCGGCUUUUGCCCAGGAUUGCGGUGGAAGACCGAGCGACAUGCACCUGGUGCGAGGUUGCUGUCUCGCGGCGGCAAAGAAGGGAUUUCUGUGACAGAAACAGCUCAGGAGGGUUCAGCUGGUUCUGCAAAGGUUCUAGGAAAUAGUUUGAUGCUGAUCUUAAACAAAUAAAAACCUCCUUAUAAUUC
Aquila chrysaetos chrysaetos is the source of this 721-nucleotide long non-coding RNA. RefSeq lists it as uncharacterized. Lineage: Eukaryota; Metazoa; Chordata; Aves; Accipitriformes; Accipitridae. The transcript is spliced from 3 exons. The record is from RefSeq and is a predicted model, not a curated record.